RNAcentral lists this long non-coding RNA (6445 nucleotides) under Populus trichocarpa (black cottonwood). Its description in RNAcentral is "long non-coding RNA (PTRI_LNC003114)". Lineage: Eukaryota; Viridiplantae; Streptophyta; Magnoliopsida; Malpighiales; Salicaceae. The record is from RNAcentral.
UUAUUUAUGAAACCCAAUUUGCAGAUGUUUCCAACGAAAAAACUUUACAUUUUUGUUUUGAGUGGGAUGAAGCUAAAGUUUCUAAAAUGCCGUGCAAUCAUGUAUUGUUCAGCUUGUUAAAGUCCUGUAAGAAAAUUCAGAGUUUCCAAAAUAUCUGAGAGAGAAAGUUUACCAGCUUCUAUUGCGUUCCUUGCAGCAAUUCUGAAAUCAUUGACUAUUUGAGGGAUUUCAUCUGUCCUUAGACGCCUCGGAGGUGUGAACUCCAUGCCUUCAACUUGAGAAGAUAUUGGCUUGUCUGUAGAAGAGACUGGAGCUUGCCCAUCUGGCUGGAAACCUGCAAAUGCCAAUAAUAUAGAAAAAUUAAUUAGUAACCAUAUUAAUCUUUUCAUUUUUUGAAAAUGACUUUGCUAAUCAUAUUAACUGACAAGAAAGUAUGGCCCAUGAACACAAAGCAACACUAAUCAUUGUUACAGAUACUGGAAACAAAACUUUAACAUGCUAGGAACAAAAUUAAAAUCUAUGCAUCAAUGAGAUUAAAGGCAAUAACUCACCGCUAUUUGACACCCUCCCAACAUGCCAAAUUUGACAGAAGAAAAUACCUCCUUUGGCAUGGACAGCAUCCACGAUGGGCUUCCAUGCUUCGACUUGCUCUCUGGUCCAAAUACCUGGAGCGUGCAGGUACCUAUAUAUAUUCAAAUGUAAGAUUAUGAACACACUGAAGUGUCAGUGUAACAAAACCAAAUAUUGAAUUUACGUUGCUCUUUCCAGUAAUCGCAACAAAAAGUAGAAAGUUAGAUUGAGUAUCAGGCAUGGCUGAUGGAAUUACCCUUGUGCUGUGUCAGAAACUCCAGUGGCUUCAGAUAUGAGAAGACCCCCCUUCGUGGCUCUCUGGGAGUAGUAUAGAACGGCAUGCGGCUGAGGAACAUUAUCGUAAGAUCUCUGUCUAGUCAAUGGUGCCAGGACAAUUCUGAAAAAAACAUGUAAUUAAUCACUGAAGUAAUUAUAAUAAAAAUGAUAGUCAAAGAAAGCAGUAUAUCCAUCGCAUUAACUAUUUAUUAAACCUGGGAAUUUACAUGAUUAUAUUUCCCGGGCAUGAGUGGGUGAUGAAAACCAGGAAAUCAAAGAACAAACAACUACGAUACGGGUAAAUUACCUAAAGCAUUACCCAACAAUAGUAAAAAAGUUUUGGAUGAUCUUAUAACAAAUUCAUUACCCAACAUAUCAAAGGAAACAGAAAAAUCAAGAAGAAAGAAAAAGGAAAGGUCAUCUACUAAUUUCUUCUUCGAGUCAUACAUAUCGAUUUUUAAUGAUCAACAAGACUUCACAGAAGAAUUCUGAACACAGAAGCAGCAUUUUGCUGCUGAAAACAGAAAAGCUAACUGAGAUCACAGCAAGUCAUCUACAUCGAACCAUGCAAAUUCAAGGAAAUGGAUAUACACGAAACCAUACUGUACAUUAAAGAAAAGGGAGAUAGCGUGAGUAAUCAGGUACCUGUGAGAAAGAUUAAACUUGCCCAUCUUGUAUGGGGUGAGAAGAGGCAACGUGGGAGUCUCAGCAACCAUUCUUUCUUGCAGUUGAUUAAUUGUUAUUGUGGUGGUUCACUAAGAACUUGUAGGAGUAGGUAUGAGAGAACCAGGUAAGCGUGGUGGGCUAUUUAUAGUUUUAAAUGCUUCUUUUGACUUGGAAAAAAAAAGUGAUGACGUUUGCAGGUACGUAUUACAGAGGAGGGAACAAAUUUGAAAGGUAGAAUCCAUCUUUAUUAUAAUUAUUUUGAAGGGUAUUAUAGAAUUUGAACCUGGACGCAGAAAUAGAAGAAUUCAGAUUGUCGUCAUUCAGGCUUCAGCCCACGGAUGAGUUGCUACUGUUCUAAUACAAAGGUCACGGGUUAAUUGCACAUAUGGUCCUUGUACUAUUUCAGUUUGAUUAAUUGAGUCCCCCAACUAUUAAUUUCAUGCAUUGUCUGAAAGAAAUUAAAUUAACCGAGGAAAAUAUUUAUUUUCCUAAAAAAGUUCAUGAAUCAGUUUUCUUGAGUUGGAUUGAACUUAUUAUCGAGUUCAGUUUUCAAUUAGAAAUUGUCCUCUAUCAAAAACAUAUUUUGUGUAUCUAUCUUAAAUCCCUAACACUUUAUGCGGACCAUCUUAUCAUGGAUCUCAAACACAACAUAUUUGUAUGAGUCGUUUCAUUAUAAAUUUUUAACACAACACCUUUGUGUAGGCCGUCUCAUCAUAGAUCCCACCACUUAGAUUUUAAAUAACAGUAAUUGAUGCAAACAGAAACAACGCGCUAGUUCCUAGACAUUUUUUUCUCGAGAGAGAACCUUCUUAUUCCCUCCUACACAACAUGUCAUGUUCUACAACAUCUUUCGGUCAUGGUUGUUCUACAACACAAAACAAAGAAAAAUAAUCAUCAAGGAUUGUGAAGCUUUAAAAUCAAUUGAUGCAAACGAGAAUGAAGGAUAAAAAAGUUUGUUACAUGUCAAAACCAUCAAAUACUAAAAACAUCAUGAGUAUAGGAAGACAACUAAAAUAUUUAAUUUUUAUUCAUCAUUGUCUCCCCUUGUCAAAAAGUUAUUACAAUUUUUUAUAUAGAAAAAACUAAAAAACUUUAAUAACAUUGAAUAGGAAAAAUAUUCUCUAAUAAAAGAAAUUAAAAAUGCAUAAAUGUUAUGUUCCGAGAUCAUUCAGCCGCCUUGGAUUAUUUUGGGCGGAGGUGAGGAGAAAUGUCAUUUGACUAUCAAAUGUUAAAAGAGGAAGAUCCGAAUAUUGUUAAUUCGAUUGCAUAAAAAAUGAUGAGAUCUUUUUUUAUAUAAUAUAGUAUCAUAAUCAGAUAACAGGCCCCACGUCAUGUCAUGGUUUAGAACAAAAUUAGCCUUUCUAUAAAUGUUAAAAUAGUAAUAUAUACAGUAGCUAUUAAUUGAAAAAAAUAAAAAAAAAUAAAAGAUCCAUCUAAAUUAUACUUGAAAAAAAAAUCCAAUGCUGCAAAAUAUCACUUUCUUUUCCAAAUUCUCUUACAAAUUUGCUUAUUUAGUCUAGAAGUACAUAUAUUUAUUUUUAGAACUGGCCUGUUAAAAUAACAAACAUCUUAGUUAUUUUUUAAUUUAAUUUAAUGUAACAAUAAAUAUUUAAAAUAUUAAUAUUAUAUAUAUCGUUACAUUUUAUAAACUAUAUAUAUGAAAUAUUAAUUUCUUCUCCUUCUCCUAUUCCCCUAUCUCCACCUAUCCUUCUCUCAAUCUUAGUUAUUAAACCCAGAUCGACCCGGUAGAUCGAUCCGGGACUCGGUCAACUCGGUGAUUGGACCGAUCCGGGUAAGACAAAAGAUCGGGAUGAGAAAAAACCCGGCAAAACCAGGUUGACCCGUGACCCGGGCGACUCGACAAAACCUGGUUGAGACCCGGUUUUUUUUUUCAAAUGUGUUUUUUCUUAGAUAGAGACUCCUUUUCUAUAUAUAUAUAUAUUUUUAGUUAAUUAGUAACCCUUUUCAAAGUUCACUAUAUAAAUAUUAGAAGAAUGUUUUAAUUUUUAAAUAUGAGAUUUGAAACCCUUUAGUAUAUAUAUUUUAUGUUUACAAGAAAAUAAUUAUUUUUUCAAUAUGAAAUUUGAAGUUUUUUAGUACAUAUACUCUAUAUUCAUAUGAAAAAAGUUUUUUUUUUCGACGUAGGAUAAAAAAUCUUUUGAAAUAAUCUCUUAAACCUUUUUGUAAUUUUAGUUUUUAUUUGAAUAGAUAUAUUAAUUAGUAUGUUAGUUGUUUUGACAUUUUUAAAUAAUGUCAACACUUUUAGACGAUUCUAUAUUUAAAAAAAAUCAACAAUAGCUAAUUAAAUUUAUAUAUAUGCCUCUCCCCCUUCUCUCUAUCUCUUGAAAAAAUCAAAUCUUACAACCUAUUUUUUGCUAAAGCAGUCAUUUAGCGAAUCACUAGCGAUAUAUAACAUCUUCUUUUUUUUAUCCUUAUUCAUGGUUUUAAAUUAUGUGGUUUUUAUUAUUAUUAUUAUUAUUAUUAUUAUGUGUUUAGAGAUCUAGCUAGACUUUGUAUUUAGAUAUGUUAAAGCUUGAUAGAGAAGAUUCAUAAUAUUUAAUGUUAGAUUAAAGUCCAACGGUUGUUUCUAGCUUGAUAGAGAAGAUUCAUAAUAUUUAAUGACUUUGGAUCUUUCAUCGACGAUUCUAUAUGUUCGAGAUGUAAUCAACUCCUGUAUAGUCAACUCAAAUUUUAAAAAAAUGUAGAGGGUUUUAUUUGUCAUCUGAAUUAUUAAACGUCAUCAUCAUCGAUAAACAAAAUAUACUAGAAAAUUAGCAAAUAUAAAUAGAUAUAUCAACAAAAUAUUUUUGUUGGUAUACUAAGACAAAUUUUUUCGAUUGAAUAUAUUAUUGCCGUAUCUAUCGGUAAACACAUACAUAAAUAUUAUCUUGAUAUAUACUGAGAGAAUUACAGUAAAAAAAUAAAUAAAUCUAAUAAAUAUGAUGAUGUGUUAUUUUUAUAGACAGAAUUACUGAUGGAUUCAAAUCUAUCGAUAAAUAAGAGUUUGAGCGAUAAAAAUGAAUUUAAUCUAAGCCAAAUGGUAUUAGAGGUAAAAGAAGAAGAAGAAGAAGAAAAUAGGAAACCUUAAAUUUGAGAGAAAAAAAAAAGAUAGCAAGAGAAAAAGAGAGUUCUAGUUGAAAAUAGAGGUAAAUAGAGAUGCUAUGAAACAACUAGUAGAAAAGGGGAAAGAAUGAAAAGAAAAGAAAAAUAAAAAUAAAAACAAAACAAACAAAAUGUAAAAAUCUAAGAGAAAUAAAAACCCGAAGUAGAGAGAGAUCAUGCCAUUAAAUUGUUUUAUUUUAUAUACUCACGAAUAUUUAAAGAGAAUAAAAUAUUUAUUUUUUAUUUUAAAUAUUUUAUAUAAUUUCAUCACAUUAAUUACUCUAUUUGUUUUAUACAUAUAUAAACAUUAUUGAGUCAUGAUUGUUUUUUUUUUAAAAAAAAAAAAUUAUACCACAAAUAAAAAACACAUUUUUGUAAAAAAAAAAAAAAACAAAUACAUGAAUAUAGAAAGAGUUAUGAUUGAAAAGAUACAUAUUUUUUCUUAGUUUAAAUUAUUAAGAUUUUUAUAUAUUUUUAUUUUAAUUGCCUUUAAUUUUUAUUUAUAAAAACAUAUUACUAAUAAAAAAAGAUAUAUUUUUGUCAAAAUAAAAAAAUACAUGAAUCAAAAAGGAAAAUUUGGAAAAAAAUACAAUUUUUUUCUUUAUAACUUAAAUUUUUAUCUUUCUUACAAAUAUCUAUUGUAAUUGAAAACUGAAUUACUUCAUAGUAUCUAGUUCAAUCUGAAAUGUGUAUUGGUGACCAGAUGCUGGUCUACAAUCUGCUUUUAUUAUUGAAUUAUAACUAUUUUAAUGGUUUACAAAACAUUUAAACUCAUAGAAACAAUAAUUGAGAGCAAUUAGACGACAACAAUAAAAAUACUUAGAGAACACAAGUUUCAACUAUGGUGACUCAAAACCCUACGCAGUGUCUUCAAGGAAAGGAUAAUCAGUGUAACCAACAACAGGAUCAUGUGUAUAAAAUGUUUCUCUGUUGUACUUGUUGAGAGGAGCAUGAAGUUCAAAUCUCCUCGGCAAAUCCGGAUUUGCCAAGAACAAGCGACCAUAAGCGACAAGGUCUCCACGGUUCUCUUCAACAGCUUUGUUUCCAUCUUCCCUGUCAUAACCACCAGCAACAAUGAAUGUACUGUUGAAAGCCUUCCUCAUAGGCAGCAGACUUUCAGAGAAUUUUGGAUUCCCUGCGCCUAUCUUCAUUCUUGGCUCAACCAUGUGGCAGUAAGCAAUACCGUAUUUAUUCAAGGAUUUAACCAUGUAGAGCCCUAGUGCUUCCGGAUCCGAGUCUCCUGAUUCCAUAUAGUUUACAUGAGGAGACAGUCUUAUUCCAAGUUUAUCUGAUCCUAUCUCAUUCGCUAUAGCCUCAACUAUUUCCAAAGGGAAUCGGCAGCGGUUCUCUAGUGAUCCACCAUAUUGGUCUGUUCUGUUGUUUACUUGAUCUUUCAUAAACUGGUCAAUUAGAAAUCCGUGAGCCCCAUGGAUCUCAACUCCAUCAAAACCUAUAAAAAGCGCAGAACAAGCUUUAAGUGAUGGUGUAUAUUAUUUAUGAAACCCAAUUUGCAGAUGUUCUAACUUCAUUUCCAACACAAAAACUUUACAUUUUUGUUUCGGGUGGGAUGAAGCUAAAGUUUCUAAAAUGCUGUGCAAUCGUGUAUUGUUCAGCUUGUUAAAAUCCUGUAAGAAAAUUCAGAGUUUCCAGAAUAUCUGAGAUAGAAAGUUUACCAGCUUCUAUUGCGUUCCUCGCAGCAAUUCUGAAAUCAUUGACUAUUUGAGGGAUUUCAUCUGUCCUUAGACGCCUCGGAGGUGUGAACUCCAUGCCUUCAACUUGAGAAGAUAUUGGCUUGUCUGUAGAAGAGACCGGAGCUUGCCCAUCUGGCUGG